CCAACUUAUCUCCUUGCUCCCUAAUUCCCACCCGUCAAUCUAUCCACUACACUCUGUUAGAGUGAAAUUUCAAAAAUGCAAUUAAAAUGUCACUUUUCUUCUUAGAACUCAUUCUUGACUCUAAGCACCCACAUAAUAAAGUCCAAAUUUCUUGAUAUGACAUGAAAGGCUUUCCUGAUCAUUUUGCUAUCCACAUUUACUAUAUUUUGCUCUUUCUUACACAAAUCUUCUAUUUUCAAAUAAACCAUGCUAUGUACACCNNUUGAAAAUUUCCACAAUUGUCCUUCUGUGUAGAUUAUUAUACUUCACAAUUAGUCAAUCUAGUGAACUCCUAUAAAACUUUCAAAAUAGUUUGACUUCCUCUUUAAUGAAGCUUUCCAUCACUCCACCUUAGAUCUGAAUAGACAGAAAAGAUUUAUCUUUUACUAUUCCACUGCAACCAAUACAUACUUCCAUCAUGGCACCUGUGAUUUAUUGACCUUACCUUUAUGUGUCUGCUUUGCCUUUUCAUAGUUUAGACUUCUUAAAGGCAGAUGUUAUGUCUUAUUCAUUAUUUUAUUCCCAAGAAAUGGUUGAUAAAAACAAUUGCAUGAAUCAAUUAAUGUGAAUAUUUCUUGCCCUCAACUGUCUCACAGUCUAAUGGGGAAACACACACAGACAUCAGAAAUUAUAAUAGAGUAUGUAUCUGCAGUGGUUGACUUAUGUGCAUUCACUCUGUUAUUUCCAGGUCAAUCACGGGAAAACACAUAUGUUCAUUGUGUACAUGAAGUAUCUUUCUGCAUCCUUUGCAAUUUAUUUCCUAUUUCUAUUAUAACUAUGUAGUUGGUUUUAUAUAUCCCCUAAAUAUUGAUAACUAGAUAAAAUACAGAUCUGAAUACAAUAUAAAAUUGCUCAAACUAUCCCUGUAACAGUUUACUUUCAGAUGAAUGAAUUUCAUGAGAAAUAAAUGAGAAGACACUCCUCUUUAAGAAAAAUGUAUUUUCCCAUGACUGUGUUUUUCAGUUAAAAAUGGUUAAAAUUAGAAAAAUGUUUAAGGUUGUUGUGCUUUUAGCUAUUGACAAAUUGUAAUAUAGGCUAAAGAAGAGGAUACCAAAAUCAAGCCGAAACUGGAUCUGGUAUUUAAAAUUCUGAAUUGUUCCCCAGGCUUCCAUUGUGCUUUUUCAUAUUGGCGUAGGGUCAGCAUGAGAGGGUUGAAGUAGAUGGAAGAGUGAUGAAUGUAAUGAGGGGAAGAAGUUGAGGAAAUUAUUCUGGAACUCAUGAUUUAAGUUUCAAGUGAAGACACUUUCUAAAGGAAAUGAAAUUGGUGAUCUCAGUUUGCUCCCUAGCAACUACUGUAGCAGAGAUGUAAUUUGAAUGCAUCAAUGUGUUUCACA
Molecule: long non-coding RNA, 1373 nt
Filed under: Capra hircus (goat)
Lineage: Eukaryota; Metazoa; Chordata; Mammalia; Artiodactyla; Bovidae
Description: lncRNA (ENSCHIG00010020558.1)
Source: RNAcentral